This is a non-coding RNA of Sphaerobolus stellatus SS14, 99 nucleotides long. NCBI's taxonomy places the organism in Eukaryota, Fungi, Basidiomycota, Agaricomycetes, Geastrales, Sphaerobolaceae. The record is from the annotation of a GenBank genome assembly.
UUCCCCGUGGCUUAGCUGGCUAUACCGUCCGACUGUUACUGUCUCUUACGAGACUGUAGUUCAAUUGGAAGGUCGAAAGUUCGAGCCUCUCUGCGCAGC